ACUAUUUGGGGUUGCUAAAAAUGAAAUAAGGAGGGGAAGGGGACAGAAGAUAAACAGGGAGGGAGGAUAAAGGGGAGAACAUGAGAGCGGCAAGUUAAAGUGGUCACUAGAGCAGUAGACAGAAGGAAAGCGAGGAAUAUAAGGCAAGGGAAAGGUUAAGAAGAAGGAACUGCUCUCUGGGUUGUCCAUACUGAAUAGAGUGUUUGUCAUGAAAAGCUAAAAUCCGUAUCUUGAAGAAAACCUACCACGUAAAGAUGUUCCCUAGAAGAACCAUCAUGAUGAAAGGCUUGCAGCUGUAGUGUAACUCGCUUCUGGAUGCUUCAUUUUAUUUCUAUGGCCACCACUAUUUGUCUGGUUGUUUAUAGAAGCCGAGAAGCAGAACCCCUAUGGCUGAAGACUGGUCCUGAUAGAAAUUCUUCUUCUAAUCUCUGCAAACCUGGAAGAUGUUCAGGUCACCCUGUAAAUGAUUCAAAGCCAGAUACUAUGGCCCAAUCCGAUGAGUGACCUGUUUUGGGAAGCAAACAUUUUUAAAGAAACCCUACUUGAAAGUUAAAGACUACAAUUGCAUGUCAGAAUAUAGACUACUGCUACCAAGUGUGAUUGUUCUCCUGAACGCUCUGCUUUUGUGACAGUUAAUGGAAUUUAAAAAGGAAAAGUAAACGUAUCUAUAACCUAACUUUCGGAAUAGAAAGGAAUGGAUUGGAAUGGAAUCCUAACUACAUCGUGUGUCUCAGAAUUAAGUCCAUUGUUCUUAACCUGUUAUUCUUCAGCGACCUCACAGAACUGAAAGCUACCUAAAACUGAAA
This 806-nucleotide long non-coding RNA is filed under the name Macaca mulatta (Rhesus monkey). RNAcentral describes it as "lncRNA (ENSMMUG00000057725.1)". Lineage: Eukaryota; Metazoa; Chordata; Mammalia; Primates; Cercopithecidae. The record is from RNAcentral.